AGGCAGCAGUGAGGAAUAUUGGUCAAUGGGCGAGAGCCUGAACCAGCCAAGUAGCGUGAAGGAUGACUGCCCUAUGGGUUGUAAACUUCUUUUAUAAAGGAAUAAAGUCGGGUAUGGAUACCCGUUUGCAUGUACUUUAUGAAUAAGGAUCGGCUAACUCCGUGCCAGCAGCCGCGGUAAUACGGAGGAUCCGAGCGUUAUCCGGAUUUAUUGGGUUUAAAGGGAGCGUAGAUGGAUAUUUAAGUCAGUUGUGAAAGUUUGCGGCUCAACCGUAAAAUUGCAGUUGAUACUGGAUAUCUUGAGUGCAGUUGAGGCAGGCGGAAUUCGUGGUGUAGCGGUGAAAUGCUUAGAUAUCACGAAGAACUCCGAUUGCGAAGGCAGCCUGCUAAGCUGCAACUGACAUUGAGGCUCGAAAGUGUGGGUAUCAAACAGGAUUAGAUACCCUGGUAGUCCACACGGUAAACGAUGAAUACUCGCUGUUUGCGAUAUACUGCAA
This 496-nucleotide ribosomal RNA is filed under the name uncultured bacterium. RNAcentral describes it as "bacterial SSU rRNA". It matches the Rfam family "Bacterial small subunit ribosomal RNA", at positions 346 to 842 of the family's 1533-position model. The record is from RNAcentral.